GCAGUAGCCGCGGGAAUACGUAGGGUGCAAGCGUUAAUCGGAAUUACUGGGCGUAAAGCGUGCGCAGGCGGUUAUAUAAGACAGAUGUGAAAUCCCCGGGCUCAACCUGGGAACUGCAUUUGUGACUGUAUAGCUAGAGUACGGCAGAGGGGGAUGGAAUUCCGCGUGUAGCAGUGAAAUGCGUAGAUAUGCGGAGGAACACCGAUGGCGAAGGCAAUCCCCUGGGCCUGUACUGACGCUCAUGCACGAAAGCGUGGGGAGCAAACAGGAUUAGAUACCCCUGUAGUCCCUGUCUCUUAUAA
RNAcentral lists this ribosomal RNA (302 nucleotides) under uncultured bacterium. Its description in RNAcentral is "partial 16S ribosomal RNA". It matches the Rfam family "Bacterial small subunit ribosomal RNA", at positions 508 to 809 of the family's 1533-position model. The record is from RNAcentral.